ACGCUGGCGGCGUGCUUAACACAUGCAAGUCGAACGGUAAGGCCCUUCGGGGUACACGAGUGGCGAACGGGUGAGUAACACGUGGGUGAUCUGCCCUGCACUUCGGGAUAAGCUUGGGAAACUGGGUCUAAUACCGGAUAGGACCACGGUCUGCAUGGAUUGUGGUGGAAAGCUUUUGCGGUGUGGGAUGGGCCCGCGGCCUAUCAGCUUGUUGGUGGGGUGAUGGCCUACCAAGGCGACGACGGGUAGCCGGCCUGAGAGGGUGUCCGGCCACACUGGGACUGAGAUACGGCCCAGACUCCUACGGGAGGCAGCAGUGGGGAAUAUUGCACAAUGGGCGCAAGCCUGAUGCAGCGACGCCGCGUGGGGAUGACGGCCUUCGGGUUGUAAACCUCUUUCAGUAGGGACGAAGCGUAAGUGACGGUACCUAUAGAAGAAGCACCGGCCAACUACGUG
RNAcentral lists this ribosomal RNA (456 nucleotides) under uncultured bacterium. RNAcentral describes it as "bacterial SSU rRNA". It matches the Rfam family "Bacterial small subunit ribosomal RNA", at positions 33 to 507 of the family's 1533-position model. The record is from RNAcentral.